Molecule: ribosomal RNA, 621 nt
Filed under: uncultured bacterium
Lineage: Bacteria
Description: bacterial SSU rRNA
Rfam family: Bacterial small subunit ribosomal RNA
Source: RNAcentral
AAAAACUCCGGUGGUAUGAGAUGGACCCGCGUCUGAUUAGCUAGUUGGUGAGGUAACGGCCCACCAAGGCGACGAUCAGUAGCCGGCCUGAGAGGGCGACCGGCCACAUUGGGACUGAGACACGGCCCAAACUCCUACGGGAGGCAGCAGUGGGGAAUAUUGCACAAUGGGGGAAACCCUGAUGCAGCGACGCCGCGUGAGUGAAGAAGUAUUUCGGUAUGUAAAGCUCUAUCAGCAGGGAAGAAGAAAGACGGUACCUGACUAAGAAGCCCCGGCUAACUACGUGCCAGCAGCCGCGGUAAUACGUAGGGGGCGAGCGUUAUCCGGAUUUACUGGGUGUAAAGGGAGCGUAGACGGCUGUGCAAGUCCGAAGUGAAAGCCCAGGGCUCAACCCUGGGACUGCUUUGGAAACUGUGGAGCUAGAGUGCUGGAGAGGUAAGUGGAAUUCCUAGUGUAGCGGUGAAAUGCGUAGAUAUUAGGAGGAACACCAGUGGCGAAGGCGGCUUACUGGACAGUAACUGACGUUGAGGCUCGAAAGCGUGGGGAGCAAACAGGAUUAGAUACCCUGGUAGUCCACGCGGUAAACGAUGAAUACUAGGUGUUGGAGAGCAAAGCUUUUCG